Molecule: unclassified non-coding RNA, 500 nt
Filed under: uncultured Glomus
Lineage: Eukaryota; Fungi; Glomeromycota; Glomeromycetes; Glomerales; Glomeraceae
Description: SSU rRNA
Rfam family: Eukaryotic small subunit ribosomal RNA
Source: RNAcentral
CCAAUAGCGUAUAUUAAAGUUGUUGCAGUUAAAAAGCUCGUAGUUGAAUUUCGGGAUCAGUAGGUCGGUCGUGCCACUGGUAUGAACUGGUCUCACUGGUUCCUCCCUCUUGACGAACUGCAAUGCUAUUAAUUUAGUGUUGUAGGAAAUCAGGACUGUUACUUUGAAAAAAUUAGAGUGUUUAAAGCAGGCUUUGGCUUGAAUACAUUAGCAUGGAUUAAUGAAAUAGGACGUUCGAUCCUAUUUUGUUGGCUUCUAGGAUUGACGUAAUGAUUAAUAGGGACAGUUGGGGGCAUUAGUAUUCAAUUGUCAGAGGUGAAAUUCUUGGAUUUAUUGAAGACUAACUACUGCGAAAGCAUUUGCCAAGGAUGUUUUCAUUAAUCAAGAACGAAAGUUAGGGGAUCGAAGACGAUCAGAUACCGUCGUAGUCUUAACCAUAAACUAUGCCGACUAGGGAUCGGAUGAUGUUAAUUUUUUAAUGACUCAUUCGGCGCCUUACG